RNAcentral lists this unclassified non-coding RNA (449 nucleotides) under Guynesomia scoparia. RNAcentral's name for it is "partial external transcribed spacer". Lineage: Eukaryota; Viridiplantae; Streptophyta; Magnoliopsida; Asterales; Asteraceae. The record is from RNAcentral.
GAGUGGUGUUUGGUUUGAUACGGGUGGUUGGCUCCCUGCUUGAGCAGGCACGRCUACGCGUACAUUCCUCUUCAGUUGUGCGGCAAGGCUUGUAUCGUCUUGAUCGUAUAUGUGGGUUUCCUGUGUUGCAUACCUGAUCAACGGCAUCGUUUUGAUCAAAAACGUACAUUUUUCGUCAGGUGUUGCACCCGCAACGUCGGAUGAACCGUGCAGCAUCCUCUUUGAUCCAUAUAGUCGAUGAGCAUUUGUUGACUGUUUGGCCUGUUGAGGGUGGCUUGGUCUCUCGGAUAUGGAAGCCAAAGUGGGCAUGGGUUCGUAUGAUCCUUUUAUUGCCCUCGUUCAGCGUUCUCGCUUCUCUUACACGACCGCCUUCCACGUAUGGCACGUCCCAGCGUGUUUGGCUACGUCGAAGAGGAAUGCUACCUGGUUGAUCCUGCCAGUAGUCAUAU